GACAGAGGGCGCAAGCGUUGUCCGGAAUCACUGGGCGUAAAGGGCGCGUAGGCGGCCUGAUAAGUAGGGGGUGAAAUCCUGCGGCUUAACCGCAGGGCUGCCUUCUAAACUGUCGGGCUAGAGCACGGUAGAGGCAGAUGGAAUUCCCGGUGUAGCGGUGGAAUGCGUAGAGAUCGGGAAGAACAUCAGUGGCGAAGGCGGUCUGCUGGGCCGUUGCUGACGCUGAGGCGCGACAGCGUGGGGAGCAAACAGG
RNAcentral lists this ribosomal RNA (253 nucleotides) under uncultured bacterium. Its description in RNAcentral is "partial 16S ribosomal RNA". It matches the Rfam family "Bacterial small subunit ribosomal RNA", at positions 524 to 776 of the family's 1533-position model. The record is from RNAcentral.